Molecule: non-coding RNA, 164 nt
Organism: Notechis scutatus (mainland tiger snake)
Lineage: Eukaryota; Metazoa; Chordata; Lepidosauria; Squamata; Elapidae
Source: RefSeq, a predicted model, not a curated record
GACACGAAAAUAACCAACUCUCAAAAAUGGAAUAAAGUCCCUUUAAUGCCUCCAACUUGGCCCCCAAUGUCCAGUUAUCCUAGGCUGGAUAUCAAACUCUUAGAGCAAACAGUCUACGGAGGGAGUAAAUGUAGUCCGAACCCGAAGUAAAGUGAAUUAGAAAU